This 313-nucleotide long non-coding RNA is filed under the name Phoenix dactylifera (date palm). RNAcentral describes it as "long non-coding RNA (PDAC_LNC016500)". Lineage: Eukaryota; Viridiplantae; Streptophyta; Magnoliopsida; Arecales; Arecaceae. The record is from RNAcentral.
GCACUCCUAAUGGCUGGGUCAAAAGACUUAUUAGUUGAGUACCUUAUCCCCUUUCCUAUUCUAGCUGGAACACUCUAAAUAAGAAAUAAAUCUAUGAUGAUUCCUUUUCUUUAUUGAUUAGCCAGUGUCCCGUGGUAGAGUUAUACAAGCUGCUUUUAAGACAUGCAAACUCGUACUUGACCUACACCUUACUUGGACACAGUGUCGACGGAACCAUCUCGAACUGCCCAGUUCGGGGCGUCUCGAGGAUAGUUCUGGCAACGAAAACGAGACUGACGCCAGAGGGAGAGAAGAAGGAAAAAGACGAAAAAAG